GAUUUUUGAAUUGUUGGACUUUUGAUGGCUUGAAAAAUAUUUUGAUUGGAUUUUUUAUGCAUGAUAAAUUAUCUAAAUAAUUUAUAAAUUAUUUAUUUGUUAAUUUUGCUCACUAUUAUAUUGUUCAAUUGCAUUUUCGUGUAGCUCCAAAGGAUCCGGAACACUCUAUGGAUCUUGAGUUACUGAGUCAUUGAGGGCUA
Molecule: long non-coding RNA, 200 nt
Filed under: Elaeis guineensis (African oil palm)
Lineage: Eukaryota; Viridiplantae; Streptophyta; Magnoliopsida; Arecales; Arecaceae
Description: long non-coding RNA (EGUI_LNC007779)
Source: RNAcentral